GACGAACGCUGGCGGCGUGCUUAACACAUGCAAGUCGAACGGUGAAGCGCCUUCCUUUUUGGUGGGUGUGGAUGAGUGGCGAACGGGUGAGUAACACGUGAGUAACCUGCCCCCUUCUUCUGGAUAACCGCAUGAAAGUGUGGCUAAUACGGGAUAUUCUGGGUCUGUCGCAUGAUGGGUCUGGGAAAGAUUUUGUUUCGGUGGGGGAUGGGCUCGCGGCCUAUCAGCUUGUUGGUGGGGUGAUGGCCUACCAAGGCGGUGACGGGUAGCCGGCCUGAGAGGGUGGACGGUCACACUGGGGCGAAGACACGGCCCAGACUCCUACGGGAGGCAGCAGUGGGGAAUAUGGCACAAUGGGCGCAAGCCUGAUGCAGCGACGCCGCGUGAAGGAUGGAGGCCUGCGGGUUGUGAACCUCUUUCGCCAGUGAAGCAGGCCUGCCUCGUUUGUGGGUGGGUUGACGGUAGCUGGAUAAGAAGCGCCGGCUAACUACGUG
This 494-nucleotide ribosomal RNA is filed under the name uncultured bacterium. Its description in RNAcentral is "partial 16S ribosomal RNA". It matches the Rfam family "Bacterial small subunit ribosomal RNA", at positions 28 to 507 of the family's 1533-position model. The record is from RNAcentral.